CCAAAUGAAACUCGUCCACAGUCCUGCAGAAAAAGAAAUAGCGAGAGAAACAGGUAGAGAGAACCUAGAGAGAGGAGAAAGAAUGAACCGCCGGAAGACUCACCGAAAACUACCAUCGGAGCUUACUCCGGUCGAGAUCAUGAUGCAAGGAUCCUUUCUUGGAAGGAAAAAGAGAAUGUGGGUGGCCGGAGUUCCCAUUUUUCAUUAAGAAAUCGAAAAACCCGCAAGGAACAACUCUACGCACGAUCUGUGAAGAAGUUUAGCCGAGAUCUCAACUCGAAGGCGAAGAUCCGAGAGUCAUCUGAGAACGGGAUCUAAUUUAAAGAAAUCAGUAUUUUUGGACACCUCACGGGCAAAGAAACGCUAGCAAAAAGGGCACGCGUCAACCAGGUGUUCGCUGGCUGCUGGUCGAGGUAGAGGAGCGUUCGAGAGUUGUACAGUCACAGAGGGGGUUAUUCCGGAGCGUCAGUCCCUUUACGGUCUUUUGGAGUCUUUUGUAUUUCAUUUUAUAUUUGCAAUUUCUUUUGUAAUAAUUUCGAAACAAAAUUUCUCUCUUUUGUUUUAA
Long non-coding RNA from Cucurbita moschata (crookneck pumpkin), 565 nucleotides. RefSeq lists it as uncharacterized. NCBI's taxonomy places the organism in Eukaryota, Viridiplantae, Streptophyta, Magnoliopsida, Cucurbitales, Cucurbitaceae. The record is from RefSeq and is a predicted model, not a curated record. The transcript is spliced from 4 exons.